This 58-nucleotide microRNA precursor is filed under the name Anolis carolinensis (green anole). RNAcentral's name for it is "Aca-Mir-202_pre stem-loop". It matches the Rfam family "mir-202 microRNA precursor family", at positions 11 to 68 of the family's 76-position model. The record is from RNAcentral. Lineage: Eukaryota; Metazoa; Chordata; Lepidosauria; Squamata; Anolidae.
UUCCUAUGCAUAUACUUCUUUGAGAAUCUGAUCUAAAGAGGCAUACGGCAUGGGAAAA